This 6340-nucleotide long non-coding RNA is filed under the name Sus scrofa (pig). RNAcentral's name for it is "lncRNA (ENSSSCG00050053791.1)". Lineage: Eukaryota; Metazoa; Chordata; Mammalia; Artiodactyla; Suidae. The record is from RNAcentral.
AUGAGGGAUGAUUCUUUUUCUGGGUGUGUUCCUUGUUUGGCAGGAAAAUUCAGUCUCCCGGGUUCUUGCCCGCGACCUGCCCGCCGGACCCUCUGGAUCACCAUGACAACCAGAAAACGCCUCCUCCCCAUCAGCAGGCCCUGGAACGGACCCCCGCACCCACGGAAACUAGCAUCCCAACUGACCACACUUGGUAGAGGGUGCAACAUAAGAUCGUCUUGCUUCUGUGUCCAGACUAUGGCUCCCCGGGCUUGUUCGGAACACUGGAAGAAGGGCCUCUGUCUCUCCCUGCCACGCGGCAGACAGACUCUCAGGAAGACAUCCUGUAUGUGGCCCAUUCUCCGCAGUCGGGACAUCUUGAGCCGUGCGUUGCUCUCUGCUGUACCUUCCAGCCCUGGGGCCUCUGACAUUUACUUUCCUAGUGUGUCCAACGCUCCAAUUUCUUUGAGGAGGGCCCAGCUGUGCUCCAAAGUGCGCUGCAGAAGAAACUACACUGAAUUCUCUAUGAAGGAGGCAUUUUUCUUCCCCCCGUUCUACAAGAUGGAGAAACCGUGGAUCAGAGGAGUUAAGCAAAUCACCGAGGCCACACAGCUGGUGGGACCCCAGCAUUGGUAUGUUUUAAAGGUGCCCCCAAUGAUGAUGACGCCAAUGAUGCUGGUAGGAGCAAUCAAGCUACCAUGACAGGUGACCAUAAUGAUACUUCCUGCUUGCUGUUUCUUUGAGAGCAGUUGGGGGGAGAACAGGACCCCCCAAGGCUAUUCUAUACACAGAGGGAGAGGGGAGCACCAAAGGGGAACGGACACUGAUGCUCUUCUCCAGGGACACAGCUCCAAAAAGCCAGAUCCGGGAAAGAAGCAGGCGGAGUGGUACCCAUCAGGCAAGUGAAUUCUAUCAGGUCAUCGGAUUAACCUACAUGUGGCUUUGAUCAGACCUCUUCGUGCUCACAGCUUGCACUUUUGGUUGGUACCCCUUCUCAUCCACACAGAAGAAAACCACUCCUCACACACACCUUGAUUUUUUUACCUUGGAACUUCUGACCUCAAAACCCUCUGACCUAAACUCUGUGCUUCCUACGUUACCUGGCUGGGGAGCAUCGCUCUCCUGGCAGUGGAUCUGGGGGGGAAUUUAGAACAUCUGAUGGUGUGACCAGCUAGUCCGUGAGGACGUGAGACUCACAUUGGGAAAGAAUUGUGAUUGACACCGUGAGGGGGAAGUGGCUGGCCUCGGGGUCACAGAGUUUCCCUUUGAAAGGUCCUUCCCGUUUCCUUCCAGCACGCGGUGGCACCGGAUCAGUAUUAAACCAAAGGUAACCACAGGGCUUUCAUACCAAUUAAGUGAGAUUAAAGAGGAAAUGAUUACUAAGAGUUAAAUAGCCAAAAUAAGAGGAAUACUAAUGGUGCUGUAUUGGCACAAAUUAGCACUCAAGGUUGCCAGGAAGGGCAGUAAGAUCCGUAUGGGUAACUCAGCACAUGUUGCCUCACCGUCUCAUCUCACCCUCCCAGCCACUGCCAUUCGUCCUGCUUAUCAGCAAAGGAAGUGCACAAGGGAGUCAAGGCCCUUCCUCCAACACAUGGCCUGAGUGCCGGGCAGAGUCAUCAUUUGAACCCAGCUCUGAUGCUGAAUCAGGACCAGAUACAUCAUUUACAGGCCCCUGGUUUUAAAACGAAUUAAGAAUUUCAAAACGGCAGCAGAAGAGCCUUAAACCAAAUGCAGGGUCCUUCUAAGUGGGGGCCGGGGCCCCACUGAGUCACAGUCUGCAUCCAGGGGAACUCUGUGUCCCUUAAACUUAAAGCUCUAUCUUCGACUUCUGGCCCCCAGAACUCUGAGAAAAUAGAUCAGUGUUGCUUUAAGUCAGUAAGUUCAUGAUACGUUGUUACAGCAGCAACAGGAAACUCAUACAGCUGGCCUGUAAAUGUAUCUACUGCCUCCUGAAGCAGCCUGCUCAGUGUAGGCAGGGACUUGGAGCAGGGCAGCCCUGGGUCGUCCUCCAGACCCCUUCCAUUGCCCAGGAGAACAGGUGUUUAUUACAGUCCCCAGAGAGGCCCUGUCUUUUACGAAUUUCCCCCUUUAAUAAUGUGCUCCAAUGAGUGAGGUAUUGCACUAGAACAAUUUGCUUCUAGGAAUUAAUACACCCAAGCAGCAUUAAUAGAACAUGCUGGCAUACUCUGAAAAUUCCACUUCAUCGCUCAUGAGGUUGCCGAAGACAUGGCAGAGGAGUGGGGAUGCUCACUGAGCCACGGAUCCAUUUACCCCAAACUUCCAUUCCCUCCCUCCCUGCUGGGUCCAAACCAGGGCACGUGGGAGCGGGGAGGUCCUUUCCGACUUCACAGACCCUCCCCACCCCACAGAGCCUGCUGACGGGUCCCGCCUGGGGACAGAUGGAAAUUCUCCACCUUCUUGCAAAUUUCCCAGCACCCUUUAGUGACCUCCCUUCCUUCUGAUUUUGAUCCAGACCACAGGUGAUGGGAGGGAGAGGACAGGUGACAGGCAUUGAUGGGCUUCCAGAAGGCAGGGCAUUGACUGGACCAGAAGAGUACAAUUCUUUUUAGAACACACUGAAUGACUGACUUCUGAAAAAAAAUAAGUUUACACCAGAAUAUGCAGAGGGAAGCUGACCCCUCGGAACACCUACAAACAUUCCCAUUUAAACACUCAUUUCAGAUACAUUAUUUUUAAACCAAAUGACGGAGCAUCAGGGACACCUACAAUUUGAAGAAAGAAUCCAGGUUUAUCACAAAGUGGGUAACGACUUCGAGAAAGCAGUGUUGGUUAACAGUAAGAAACGUCAGACUGAGAGGAGAAUUUUGAAAGAAAAUAGUGCUUUAAAAAACAACUGUGCCCUAGAAGAAAUCAUCUCUCUCACGUGCUUUUAGAUAAUGGUCCCUUUGCCAUUUCCACUGAAUUCUUUCCUCCCUACUUUGAAAUAUUACAGUUUGGAAACAUCCCAUAAUGCACCCAACGUAGCCUUUGGGGUGUGUAUUUGAUAAUGACUUUGGCUUUCCUCUGCUUGGUGCCCAGUAAUAAGAAAGUGGAGGUUGUCUAUGACAAGACAUGUGCUGGGGUUGGGGUGGGGGGAAGGAGGAGGAAGAGAAGGGAGAAGAGGAGAGAAGGGGGGAGAGGGAAGGAAGAAAAAGUCCUAACUCUUGUGAUAAACUCUAGAACAUCCUCUAAGCCCUUUAUUCUGAAGUCUAGACCUCGUUUGCCCAGAGCAUCGCAUGAUCACCAAUGCUUUGCUCAGGGUGUCCCCACCCAUAGAGAAAGAAAGGAUUCAGCCAGAUGCGAACAUUUUAAAAAUGAAUAAGUGACCCUCCCCUAGGAAAUCAGAUUCUGAGUUAGAACCCUCGUCUGGCGUAGCACAUAAGCCCUUAUCUUCUGGGCCCUAAAAUGAACACCCGCUGGUGAAACUGGGAAACGUCUGAGUUCCACUGGCAGACUCAACAGGGCAGGAGAUGAAAAAAAUUAAAAAAGAAAACACAAAAAGCUUGAAAAGGGGAGAGAAACGCAGCCAACUAAUUCACUAAGCAGGACAAGCCCGCAUCACGUGAGCUGCAGAGAGCUCUCCUGGCUUUCAGGGAGCUCCCGACAUGGCUCAGCAGUUAAUGAACCCACUGGCAUCCACGAGGACACGGGUUCAAUCCCUGGCCUCGCUCGGUAGGUUAAGGAUCCGGCGUUGCCGGGAGCUGUGGUGUGGGUCGCAGAGACGGCUCGGAUUCCGAGUUGCUGUGGCUGUGGGGUAGGCCGACGGCUGUAGCUCCGAUUGGACUCCUAGCCUGGGAACCUCCCUAUGCUGUGGCUGUGGCCCUCAAAGACAAAAAGACCAAAAAAAAAGUUUUCCUUUCUUAAUUAUUAUUUUUACUUUUAAAGAGCAAGUGGAAGAUGUAUAUUUUGAUGAAGGAUGGUGUGUUUUUUUUUGCAAGUCAUCUGAAGGAUGACUGGACAGCCAAGCAAAGGCUGCUGGAAGCACUGAAUCCCUAGAAUGUGACUUUUUUUUUUUCUUCCUGAGUAGGCCUGUCUGUUUGUUUAGGCAGACUUGGAGUUCGGUUGUUUGGAAGAAUGAACAUCACUGUUUUGUUCUGGAGAGAAGUUCUCGAUGGUGUCUGCUGCUGGUUCUUUAUCCCCACACGUUGACUCGGAUAUUAAAAUUCAGUACUUACAAGAAAGAGUUAAAAACACGACCAGCCACGCCUCGGUUAAAAUUACAAAUGAGAAAAAGGGAUGCCUCCUACACCAGCUUCCCAAUGUCCCCAUUUCUGUCAAGAAUACCAGGAUUCUUGCCGUGAGCCAAGCGCAAAGCCUAAGCAGUGUUCAUCCCAACAGCCUUUCUAGUCUGAAAAUAUGUCCUGUUGAUUUUUUCCAACCCCUCGAUUGUCUCACGUCCCUUUUCCCACCCUCAUGGACCUACUUCUGGACUUUAUCAGCUCAUGCUGGAACACAUGCAGUGGCCCUUUAACCUCCCCCCCAACCCCCCUGCUGUCAUUUCUAACCUCUUCCGUCUGGCACUUCUCUUAUUGCCAAUUAGAUCACGUCCAAUUCCUCGUGAAGUCAUCCAUAAUUUGGGCCACACCACCUGCUCAUCUUGCUCACGUCCUUACCUUGCGUUCACGGUCAUGUGGUCUAUCAGUGAUCUACUACUGAGGAACAAACCAACCCACACCUCCGUGCCUAAGACAACGGACCUUUAUUUUGCUCACGAAACUGAAGCAGGAAGAUCUCCGUGGAGCCGACUAGUCUGACCCAAGAUCAAGACGGCAGUUUCUGCUCAGCCAGGACUAUGGACAGGCACCUCUUCAUGUCCACCAGUGGCUGGGCUUCCUCAUGGUACGGGGGUUCCCAGGCUCAGCAUCCCAAGAGAACCAGAAGGGAGUUGUGCCACAUUUUAUGACCUAGCUUCCGGAGUCAAGCAAUGUCACUUCCACGAGGCCACUCAGAUUCAAGGGGAGGGGACAUGGUCGCCAUCCUUCAAUGGAAGGAGUGUCAAGUCACGGAGUAAAAGAAUCAUGCAGAACGGGAGACACCAUUGCAGUCAUUUUUGGGGAAAUGCAAUCUGCCACCUGCAGCCUAUGAUUGGGGUGAUGGAUUUAGGACAAAUGCCAAGUAACACUUGCCAUCCAGUGGGCAGUGAGUGCAGGGUCACAUGCUCAGAUCUUGGAGUUGUCUGCCUCAUCUUGGAACCAAGACCACUCAGGCCAAUAAAAGCUGUGACUUUCCCACGUCAGGGUUAGUGGCAGAUUGGCCAUCAGCAGGCAGAUUUUUAUUCGGUGGGUUGGGUUUGGAUGAGGGUUUGAAAAUGUCUGCGUUAAAAACUCUCCACGAUGAUUCGCAUGAACAGGCAACUUUGGGGAACAUCAGGCUGGGAUUUAUCUCUCACUGUCCCUGCAGUUGCCAGAGGACACACAGGCAGCUUGUUACCAGAAAUCCAGGAGGGUGUGGGUAUAUCACCGGAAUAUUUAGGGUCCUCUCCAAAUGGCAGCCGUCCUCAUCAGUCCACAGCCCGGCUGCACAAGCUAAUCUCCCUGGAUAAUUAGGCGAAUGACUAGUCAAGUUCCCAUCCUGCCCUGGAGAAACAGGAAUCAGGCACCAACUUGUUGGGGGUAAUUGAAUCCAUGCCAGUGUGCUGGCUCGCUGCCUUUCCCCCUCCAAGGAUUCAAGAGAGUAGCCUGUUGCCACAAGCAGAAGGUUUGGGUACCAGCGGCGACCAGGAACUGGCAGAGGCAAAGGCACCCUUCAUUAUGCAAUUAUCCAUAAUUAGGUGCUCAUUACUAUUUUACGAUCAGAGAGCCAGCACCCACCUGUGCAGGGCUGUCGUGGGGACUGGCGGGGCCGGGAGGCAGAGCCUCGCCUUUUCUCUAAGAACAUGACAUCGAACAUCAGCAGUGCCCACGCAACAUUGUAAAUCGACUCUACGUUGAUUUAAAUUAAAAAAAAAAUUUUUUUAAGAAUAAGGCUAUGACCAAAACAAACAAAAAACCCAAAAAACAAAAACACAAAAUAUCAAAACUCAUUUGGAAUGGGACUUUUAAAGGGUUAGAGGUGGAACUUAGGACUGGCCCUUUAGGGUUAGAGGCAGUAACAGUGACAAUGGCCAAGUGGCUGUGAUCUUUCCUAGAAGGUACGACCCAGAAUGUGAACCUGAUUUUGUUUUUUGUUUUUUGUCUUUUUGCAUUUGUCUAGGGCCGCUCCCACGGCAAACGGAGGUUCCCAGGUUAGGGGUCAAAUCGGAACUGUAGCUGCCGGCCUACACCACAGCCACAGCAACACUGGAUCCUUAACCCACUGAUCAAGGCCAGGGAUCGAACUCGCAACGUCAUGGUUCCUAAUUCGAUUCGUUAAUCACUGAGCC